Molecule: long non-coding RNA, 2522 nt
Organism: Helianthus annuus (common sunflower)
Lineage: Eukaryota; Viridiplantae; Streptophyta; Magnoliopsida; Asterales; Asteraceae
Exons: 2
Source: RefSeq, a predicted model, not a curated record
AUGACACCUUGUGGUAUCGGUAUGAACUUGUAGCUUGGGCUAAACAUGAUAAAUCGUUUCAUGCAAAACACGGUGAUACUUGUUUGAUCCCCGUUAUUAUCGAUUUGUUUCAUUCACUCUGACACCUAGUGGCGUCGGUAUACACUUGUAGCUUGGGCUAAUCUUAAUCGAUCGUUUCAUGCAAAACUAUGUAUGCUUUUCGUUUGACUAAUCACUUAAGUAGUCUUAGUGCAACUAUGUAUUAAGACGAUGAUACACCAGGUUCGGUUGUAUUUCAUUUCGGUGUAUCCUUGCAACUUGUUAACGUCAACACGUUGAUUUGAUUCAUUUAUUGGUUCAAUAGUUGACGAAUCAUUUUCAUGUUUCUAUUUCAAUGAAUUUGCUAAUUCCGUGUUUCAUUUCCAAAACAACCAACGCAAGUUUCCAUUGGUAGUGAAUCCUGUUGUUUCAAAAAUUGAUUUACAUAUCAUGAACGUCUAUUUGGAAUUUUAUUGGUCGAAAUUCCCAUUUUGUUGGACCACCGUAAACAUAAUCACAUUGGUGAUAGUAUCACAAUGCUUCGUUCACUUGAUAUUCGUUCACUUGAUAUCGAUCUCUGGAACAAACUUAGUUGAUUCGUUGGGUUCUUAUCGAUGCAAAAUGUCUUUGCAUUCACGUAAUCUGAAUACGUUUUGAUUCAAUUACGCGGUCAUUCACUUUGGUAUUGUUCGGACUUACCUAGGAAAGACAUAACUCUAUGAAGAUAACAUAGAAUAAAUUUCGAGGACGAAAUUUCUGCAACAGGGGGAGAAUGUGACAACCGGUAAUUAACGGCUUCUAAUUACGCGAUUAACCAACAUUUAAGGCGAUAAUAAAUAAUGUUUAAGACACGAAUUAAUUUAAUUAGGAUUUUGUAAUGCCUAGGAGCGCCUACACGACUUUACAGUACGCGAAUGAUAAUCUGCAAAGAAACUGCGUAACGCUAAACGAUAACGAACUGAUGUCGUACAAAAUACUGACCUCACCGACAAAUACGAAUUUUAUACGUAUAUUUUAUACCUAUGAGUUUGGUUUUGCGAAUUUAUAGCGCUAUCGAAUGUCACAAAGCGAAAACAUGAACGAAGAUGCGGAAACAGUAACGCGCAGACAAUCAACGAUGAAACGGAAGCACCGGACAAGAAUUUUUGUCGCAAUAAUAAUAUAUUAUGAUAUAUUGAACGUCGUUUUCAAAUUUUAAUAUCCGUAGUCGAAACCGGAUUGAAAAACGAAUUAAAGCGGCAACGACACAAUUUUACGCGACUUUUAGCGUAAGCGACGAACGAGAGCGUCAAAUGCGACAAUCGACACUGUUUUGCGUCUUCUUAUUUUAAAACAAUAAUUUACGACAUUUUUACGACGUUCGGGUUUUGAUAACGGGUCUCGUAGGAAUUACGGGUCACUUAAAACACGCGAUUGGGCUUGCGGGCCUUGGGCCCAAGCCCAAAGCCCACUAACUAACCCUAGUAUAUAUUUGUAGUGAUGAAGCUUAUUGACAAUUGAACCCUAAAAAUCACACAAGCACACACAUCUGCUUUUCCUUUUCCUUCUCAAACCCUCUCUUCCAUAAGACCUCCCUUUCUCUCAAAUAUGUAUACAUAACAAAAGCCAAACACCCUCUCGUCUUCUACCAGCAACCUUUUAUCCCCUUCCUUUGUUAAUACUCAUUCACCAAACAAACAAAACCCCUCAUCUAUCAAAGGAACAGGCCAACCACGACUGUGGAGGCGGUGUACGGCGGUGGUGGAUCCCCACAAGCACGACAUCAGCGGCAACCACCCCCCCCCUGUUACAGAAUCAACGGCCGGCCACCAUCCUUGGGUGGUGGCGCAUGGCGGCGGCGCGAUGACAAGGUCCGAGAGGCAGAGAGAGAAAGAACGAGAGGAGGGAGAGAACGAAGGGAGCCGACUGUUGACCUUUCCGUUGACCAGAAUCGGGCGGCGACGAGCGACGAAUUCCGAUGGAUACAUUUUCACGUUCCAAAGCGUGUUCGGUCAGUUUUGGGUGAUGACUUUGGCGAUGGUUGUAGCUCAAACGGGUCACGUGGGUGUGGGUUGGACGGAUCCACGGUUACGUGAUAGAUCUUAGUGGUUUUGAUGCUUUCGGUUCCCGGUCAACUGAGUCAACGCAAUGAGUUGACAGCUCAAACCUGGUCAACGCUAGUCAAACAUGGUUUUGGGUCAGUUUCGCAUUGCAAGAAAACCAAGUUGCUCGGAUUUUAUUUUGGUUCGGUUCGAGAUCGGUCAAACGUGGUCAAACAUCAACUCAGUUCGGGUUAACGCCGGUCAACAACAGUCAACUGCAGACCCGGUAAAGUUUAUUGGCGCGGAUUUUUCGUCUUAUCAUUUAUAUAGUUUAUAUCUCUACGCGAACCGAGCUCGAACCUUUAGCGAUUACAUAACGUUUAUGCAUUAUUGAUUCUUUAGAGUUUGAUAUAUUUUGACUAAAACUAUAUAUCGUUAUUACAUUGGUUUGAAAUAUUAUUUGAUUGUUGAGUUUUGACAAAA